RNAcentral lists this ribosomal RNA (301 nucleotides) under uncultured bacterium. Its description in RNAcentral is "partial 16S ribosomal RNA". It matches the Rfam family "Bacterial small subunit ribosomal RNA", at positions 509 to 807 of the family's 1533-position model. The record is from RNAcentral.
CAGUAGCCGCGGUAAAACGUAGGGUGCAAGCGUUAAUCGGAAUUACUGGGCGUAAAGCGUGCGCAGGCGGUUAUAUAAGACAGAUGUGAAAUCCCCGGGCUCAACCUGGGAACUGCAUUUGUGACUGUAUAGCUAGAGUACGGCAGAGGGGGAUGGAAUUCCGCGUGUAGCAGUGAAAUGCGUAGAUAUGCGGAGGAACACCGAUGGCGAAGGCAAUCCCCUGGGCCUGUACUGACGCUCAUGCACGAAAGCGUGGGGAGCAAACAGGAUUAGAGACCCCAGUAGUCCCUGUCUCUUAUAC